AGCUUCAGCUAAUACAGAGCGAGUUUUUAUGGGUGAUAAACACUGAGGGUUUUGGAGAGAAACCAAGAAAUCCAACCAUUUUCGACAGAAUUGCUUCAAUCUACCACCAGGAAGACUAUUAAUCAUCCUCCCUCUACCAUCAGUUUGUCUUCAUUGGGUUGUUCCUUACUAGAAAAGGGAAGAUUCGAAAGGACAAAGCUUCCCACCUCCAUUACCAGUGAUUCGUGCAAAACCCAGGCUUUCCGUCAGCGUUGGUUGCUGAAUAAGCCUUUACUUUAGUUGAUUUCGCUGGGAAUUUGAAGGACAGUUCUGGUUGAUGAUCUGCAUGAAGGUUAGCAGUAAAGUUUUUUGUGGUUUUUAUAUGAUAAUUAUUAUUUGUUUUUAUUCUACAAUGGAGGAUUUCAGUGUUCCUUUGGCUACUUUGCAUUUCAUAUGUCCCCCUUUUUAUUUGUUAAAUGACAAAUUUUAUUUUGUAAAUAAAACCCUAAAAUGGAAGGAGCACAGAGGCAAAUACAACUAUUUAUCUCCUUUUUAGGCUUCAUUUUGAUUGUAUUGUUUUAUUGAUUGCAUAGGAAAUGGUACAGUUUUGAAUAGUAUCAUUGUGUUUUCUUUUUCAAAUAUCCAAAAAUUAAGGAAUAAUUGAUCAAAUAAAUAAGGAGAAGAGAUGAAUAAGCUUGACUUACUUUUCUUUAUCCUUGAGGAUUUGAAAUAGUUUAUUAAUAUCCACCACCGAAUAAGAAAAGCACCAAGUAUUUUGGAAACAUUUCAGUUGUCCUUCCAGUUCAGUUCUGGCCAGCAAGCAUGAGAAACUGUGACAGCAUGAAGGAUAAUUUUGUGUUGCUAAUUGGUGCAGUAGUUAGAUUAGAUACAAAAUUAGUGAUUUAUGAUUAGGAUUCCAUUUGGUCAUCAUUGUUGAAACCCAAGCAAUAUAAUUUUUCAUAAUCUGCUGAUUGCUUUCAUAAAAAUUAGUGUUAAAAUAGGGUGAAGGGUAUUUUGGUGCUUGUCAUCAUUGACAUAUAAGUUAUCAAAUCAGUCUUCCUUAAAUAGCCAUUGGAUGUUUCAUGCCUUUAUCAUCUGCUUGCUGUGAUAUAUGCAGCAUGAAAAUGGAAAAGCGGACUCAGGAAAACGCGGAAACAGACACAGUGAAACGCGUAAAUAUAAAAAAUAU
This 1168-nucleotide unclassified non-coding RNA is filed under the name Hevea brasiliensis (rubber tree). The record is from RNAcentral. Lineage: Eukaryota; Viridiplantae; Streptophyta; Magnoliopsida; Malpighiales; Euphorbiaceae.